AUGUACAACAUUAAUUCAACUAGUCUACAUUUUGUCUCUUUUAAGAUUGGAUACGUCUUUCCUGUGCAUUUAUUUCUUCAUUUAUUUCUGAAACGGUCUGCCGUAAUUGACCAAUCAGAAUCGAGCAUUUAAUCAAGUCAAUUGAACCUUAUAUUAUAGCCUAUGAGCAUUACACCUAGCCUGGCUCCGCCCGCCUAAGGACUUCCGCUAAAUUUGAAUUUCCCUUCAGUACUGCGGUUAGUGGGUUUUCUCCGUCUAAAUUUUCUGCGUCCAAUCAGCGAACAGAGGGAGUGGCUAAGGACAAUGACGUUAAAGUCAGCUCUCGUUGACGGACAUCUUCACGCACGGUGUUUGGUUUGUUUACACAGCCUGCGUUGAUUCCCGGCCAAACGUAAGCGGUUGGUUAUGUCAGAUCCAGAGUGGCACUGGGCAGAUCCAAUAGUUUUAAACUUCAACAGACACCCGCCUUCAAGUGAGUUAACGUUUGCAAAUUGAGUAUUGCCAGACUCUCUGUACAAAUGAAAUGAAGUACGAGAGUCUGAAAGGAACAGGCUACAUUACACCCACAAUUGAGCUCCAAUUUCCAUACAGUUCUCUACCUGCUUUUUACUGCAGUGGACCUCCUGGAAUACACUUCUAAAAUGCGAUUCUUACCCAUUGUGAACAUGUUGAAAGGAUGCCGAUUGGCUGUUGGAUGCUGGAGCCCGAUAGUGAUUCUGCUCGAACAAAUCUGCUGCAGCAGCACUGACCACUCGGCUGGCUGCGUGGUUCUUCCCUCUUGCACCAUCCAAUUAAAUCCUCAACGAUCAAAUCACCUGCAUGGAGGCACGAGGCCUGAUAUGAGGCCAGCUGAUGGCCAUAGAGCCUCAUGGAGGCCAGAGGUAAAGGGAGGAACCACCAGGAACUGGGAUAGAGGUGGAGAGGGGAACCUACCUAUCUGGAAUAGGUUCCUGCUCGUCACUCCCCAAGAGAGAGAACCAUCAACAUACAGACAGACGGACAGACAGACAGACAGACAGACAGACAGACAGGGAGACAGACAGGGAGACAGACGGAGAGAGAUGUAG
RNAcentral lists this long non-coding RNA (1067 nucleotides) under Gadus morhua (Atlantic cod). RNAcentral describes it as "lncRNA (ENSGMOG00000031222.1)". Lineage: Eukaryota; Metazoa; Chordata; Actinopteri; Gadiformes; Gadidae. The record is from RNAcentral.